CUUAUCACAUUUGUUAAUGUAACUAGUUUUACUAUAAAAUACAUACAUAUUUUCUUUCUAUUUGAGGCUAUGAUUCAAGCUCAAUGAAAAAUUAAAAUAAUAUGAAUAUCUUUCCAACUUUUCCUUACAAAAGUGGAGAAGCUUGUAUCCAGUAAGGCCGAAGACAGAUGAGUUCUAGGAUGAAACAACUCUGUUUCCUUCAGAAUAUACAAUGCACAAGCUAAAUUUCAAAAAGACUGAAAAGAACAUGCCUGUACCUAUUUUCCAAGAUUUCUUUUGUCCUACAGUUCACUGGCUCCAAGGUGUCGGAACAGGAAACUAUGAUGUUGAAGGGCAUGUUUUCAGUUAUAAGGGAACCAGAAAACCACUAAGGUAUUUCUCUACUUUCACUUUAACUGAUGUUAUCUCUAUUUCUAUUUGUCUUAACCUUAGCUUGGAGAGUUAUUAGGUAGUCGUCCUGAAUUCUUCAUAAUUCCUUUUAAAGAAAGUUGACCAUAUUUUAAACUCUAUAGUUUCUGGAAAUUAAAUGCCAAGUUAUAUUUCCAUACAGUUCACAUAGAAUCUGGAGAACUAUAAUAAAUUAAGGGUGAGUGAAAAUGUGAAUUCA
RNAcentral lists this long non-coding RNA (607 nucleotides) under Felis catus (domestic cat). RNAcentral describes it as "lncRNA (ENSFCAG00000048106.1)". The record is from RNAcentral. Lineage: Eukaryota; Metazoa; Chordata; Mammalia; Carnivora; Felidae.